AUGGGAGCUUGCUCCCUGAUGUUAGCGGCGGACGGGUGAGUAACACGUGGGUAACCUGCCUGUAAGACUGGGAUAACUCCGGGAAACCGGGGCUAAUACCGGAUGGUUGUUUGAACCGCAUGGUUCAAACAUAAAAGGUGGCUUCGGCUACCACUUACAGAUGGACCCGCGGCGCAUUAGCUAGUUGGUGAGGUAACGGCUCACCAAGGCAACGAUGCGUAGCCGACCUGAGAGGGUGAUCGGCCACACUGGGACUGAGACACGGCCCAGACUCCUACGGGAGGCAGCAGUAGGGAAUCUUCCGCAAUGGACGAAAGUCUGACGGAGCAACGCCGCGUGAGUGAUGAAGGUUUUCGGAUCGUAAAGCUCUGUUGUUAGGGAAGAACAAGUACCGUUCGAAUAGGGCGGUACCUUGACGGUACCUAACCAGAAAGCCACGGCUAACUACGUGCCAGCAGCCGCGGUAAUACGUAGGUGGCAAGCGUUGUCCGGAAUUAUUGGGCGUAAAGGGCUCGCAGGCGGUUUCUUAAGUCUGAUGUGAAAGCCCCCGGCUCAACCGGGGAGGGUCAUUGGAAACUGGGGAACUUGAGUGCAGAAGAGGAGAGUGGAAUUCCACGUGUAGCGGUGAAAUGCGUAGAGAUGUGGAGGAACACCAGUGGCGAAGGCGACUCUCUGGUCUGUAACUGACGCUGAGGAGCGAAAGCGUGGGGAGCGAACAGGAUUAGAUACCCUGGUAGUCCACGCCGUAAACGAUGAGUGCUAAGUGUUAAGGGGGUUUCCGCCCCUUAGUGCUGCAGCUAACGCAUUAAGCACUCCGCCUGGGGAGUACGGUCGCAAGACUGAAACUCAAAGGAAUUGACGGGGGCCCGCACAAGCGGUGGAGCAUGUGGUUUAAUUCAAAGCAACGCGAAGAACCUUACCAGGUCUUGACAUCCUCUGACAAUCCUAGAGAUAGGACGUCCCCUUCGGGGGCAGAGUGACAGGUGGUGCAUGGUUGUCGUCAGCUCCUGUCCUGAGAUGUUGGGUUAAGUCCCGCAACCAACCGCAACCCUUGAUCUUAUUUGCCAGCAU
Molecule: ribosomal RNA, 1071 nt
Filed under: Bacillus sp. (in: firmicutes)
Lineage: Bacteria; Bacillati; Bacillota; Bacilli; Caryophanales; Bacillaceae
Description: bacterial SSU rRNA
Rfam family: Bacterial small subunit ribosomal RNA
Source: RNAcentral